GAUGAACGCUGGCGGCGUGCUUAACACAUGCAAGUCGAGCGAGAAGUUUUGAACAGAUUCUUCGGAUGAAAUUUAAAAUGGAAAGCGGCGGACGGGUGAGUAACGCGUAGGCAACCUGCCCCAUACAAAGGGAUAGCAUUUGGAAACGAAUAUUAAUACCUUAUGAAACUUAACUAGUGCAUGCUAGGUAGGUCAAAGAUUUAUCGGUAUGGGAUGGGCCUGCGUCUGAUUAGCUAGUUGGUGAGGUAACGGCUCACCAAGGCGACGAUCAGUAGCCGACCUGGGAGGGUGAACGGCCAAAUUGGAACUGAGGCACGGUCCAAACUCCUACGGGAGGGAGCAGUGGGGAAUAUUGCACAAUGGGGGAAACCCUGAUGCAGCAACGCCGCGUGAACGAUGAAGGCCUUUGGGUCGUAAAGUUCUGUUCUAGGUGAUGAAAACUGACAGUAACCUAGGAGAAAGCCCCGGCUAACUCCGUG
RNAcentral lists this ribosomal RNA (479 nucleotides) under uncultured bacterium. RNAcentral's name for it is "partial 16S ribosomal RNA". It matches the Rfam family "Bacterial small subunit ribosomal RNA", at positions 28 to 507 of the family's 1533-position model. The record is from RNAcentral.